Molecule: long non-coding RNA, 831 nt
Filed under: Medicago truncatula (barrel medic)
Lineage: Eukaryota; Viridiplantae; Streptophyta; Magnoliopsida; Fabales; Fabaceae
Description: long non-coding RNA (MTRU_LNC008010)
Source: RNAcentral
UGAAAUGUUUGUUUUCUCCUUUUUGAGAGUUGCCUGUUUUCUACUAAAUUUCAGAACAUGUAUCUUUCUGCCAGUAAUGUGAUUACGCAGGGCUUUCUCUGCAUUGUAUCAUUGAAACUGGUAGUAGUAGAAUUAGAAUAGCAAGAAACUGAAAAAUGCUAUGGAGAGUCGUACUUAUGUACACAACAUAGAAGGUUUGCAAAUCAAAUGAUUUAUGGAAGUUUGUUUGGCUCAUGUCCUUAAUAUUAGGAAUAUGUAGGCUGGCCUUACAAAUAUGAUUUAAUUCCAUUUUUAUCAUAACAAAACUCUCUUUAUAGUUUUUACAGAGAGGGUAAAAAUAAGACAAUAAAUUUUUCAAAUAAGUGAUAAUUUUAUUACUUUCUUAUUUCUACAAACAUUUAACAAAUGAAUUUACUUGGAGAAGUUAAAAAUAUAUCAUUGAGGCAAAAAAAUAUAAAUUACAAUUAUUUAUUCAAAUAAAAUAUAUUUUGAAUAGAAUAAUUAUUAGUUAGGUUGUACUCACCUUUCUGUCGAAAUUUGGAUUAACAGGAUCCAUUUCUCUGCGAAUCAAAGGUUAACAAUAAAUAUAUAUANNNNNNNNNNNNNNNNNNNNNNNNNUAUAUAUAUAUAUAUAUAUAUAUAUAUAUAUAUAUAUAUAUAUAUAUAUAUAUAUAUAUAUAUAUAUAUCUAUGUAUGUAUGUAUGUUGGGGUAGUCUAAGAUACCUUAUUAUUCUUCAUAUUUAUUAUGCCUGCCCCUGCAAGGUAUCCUCUCCCCUUCUAAAAAGGGAGACAGUGUGGUAGUUUAGAGACAAAUUUGAUAGAUCGUGGAUA